UUAUUUGAGAGUUUGAUCCUGGCUCAGGAUGAACGCUGGCGGCGUGCCUAACACAUGCAAGUCGAGCGAUUCUC
Molecule: ribosomal RNA, 74 nt
Filed under: Clostridiales bacterium
Lineage: Bacteria; Bacillati; Bacillota; Clostridia; Eubacteriales
Description: partial 16S ribosomal RNA
Rfam family: Bacterial small subunit ribosomal RNA
Source: RNAcentral